GACGAACGCUGGCGGCGUGCUUAACACAUGCAAGUCGAACGAUGAAGCGGUGCUUGCACCGUGGAUUAGUGGCGAACGGGUGAGUAAUACGUGAGUGACCUACCUUUGACUCUGGGAUAAGCCUGGGAAACUGGGUCUAAUACCGGAUACGACCAAUCUCUGCAUGGGGUGUUGGUGGAAAGCGUUAUGGAGUGGUUUUAGAUGGGCUCACGGCCUAUCAGCUUGUUGGUGAGGUAAUGGCUUACCAAGGCGACGACGGGUAGCCGGCCUGAGAGGGUGACCGGCCACACUGGGACUGAGACACGGCCCAGACUCCUACGGGAGGCAGCAGUGGGGAAUAUUGCACAAUGGGCGCAAGCCUGAUGCAGCGACGCCGCGUGAGGGAUGACGGCCUUCGGGUUGUAAACCUCUGUUAGCAUCGAAGAAGCGAAAGUGACGGUAGGUGCAGAGAAAGCGCCGGCUAACUACGUGCCAGCAGCCGCGGUAAUACGUAGGGCGCGAGCGUUGUCCGGAUUAUUGGGCGUAAAGAGCUUGUAGGCGGUUGGUCGCGUCUGCUGUGAAAGGCCGGGGCUUAACUCCGGUUUUGCAGUGGGUACGGGCUGACUAGAGUGCAGUAGGGGAGACUGGAAUUCCUGGUGUAGCGGUGGAAUGCACAGAUAUCAGGAGGAACACCGAUGGCGAAGGCAGGUCUCUGGGCUGUAACUGACGCUGAGAAGCGAAAGCAUGGGGAGCGAACAGGAUUAGAUACCCUGGUAGUCCAUGCCGUAAACGUUGGGCACUAGGUGUGGGGGACAUUCCACGUUUUCCGCGCCGUAGCUAACGCAUUAAGUGCCCCGCCUGGGGAGUACGGCCGCAAGGCUAAAACUCAAAGGAAUUGACGGGGGCCCGCACAAGCGGCGGAGCAUGCGGAUUAAUUCGAUGCAACGCGAAGAACCUUACCAAGGCUUGACAUGCAUUAGAUCGCGUCAGAGAUGGCGUUUCCCUUCGGGGCUGGUGUACAGGUGGUGCAUGGUUGUCGUCAGCUCGUGUCGUGAGAUGUUGGGUUAAGUCCCGCAACGAGCGCAACCCUCGUUCUAUGUUGCCAGCGGUUCGGCCGGGGACUCAUAGGAGACUGCCGGGGUCAACUCGGAGGAAGGUGGGGAUGACGUCAAAUCAUCAUGCCCCUUAUGUCUUGGGCUUCACGCAUGCUACAAUGGCCGGUACAGAGGGUUGCGAUACUGUGAGGUGGAGCUAAUCCCUUAAAGCCGGUCUCAGUUCGGAUUGGGGUCUGCAACUCGACCCCAUGAAGUCGGAGUCGCUAGUAAUCGCAGAUCAGCAACGCUGCGGUGAAUACGUUCCCGGGCCU
Molecule: ribosomal RNA, 1345 nt
Filed under: uncultured bacterium
Lineage: Bacteria
Description: bacterial SSU rRNA
Rfam family: Bacterial small subunit ribosomal RNA
Source: RNAcentral